This 105-nucleotide small nuclear RNA is filed under the name Procavia capensis (Cape rock hyrax). Lineage: Eukaryota; Metazoa; Chordata; Mammalia; Hyracoidea; Procaviidae. The record is from RNAcentral.
AUGCUCUCUUCAGCAGCACAUACACUAAAAUGGGAAAGACAAAAAAGAUUAGCAUGGCUCCUUCACAAGAAUGACAUGAAAAAUUGUGGAGUGUUCUGUAUUCAU